GAUUCCCUGCAGUACGCGUGAUGGCAUGGAGGCUCGUUUGAGCCAUUGUUGUAUCGAAGUGAACCGCGACGCUUCGCUGUGUGCACGCCUCGGCCCGAGGAAGCCUAGAGGCGGGGUUUGACAUAGCGGUUCCACCUGCACGCGCAGGUUCAUACGACCUCCCCACACGGUAAUCGCGGGGGUCCU
This 186-nucleotide non-coding RNA is filed under the name Acidobacteriota bacterium. RNAcentral describes it as "Acidobacteria bacterium 6S RNA". It matches the Rfam family "6S / SsrS RNA". Rfam says of the family: E. coli 6S RNA was the first non coding RNA to be sequenced, but its function was unknown until recently. It consists of 184 nucleotides that fold into an extended hairpin structure with a large single-stranded internal bulge. Lineage: Bacteria; Pseudomonadati; Acidobacteriota. The record is from RNAcentral.